AAUAAUAAUAAUAAUAAUAAUAAUAAUAAUAAUAAUAAUAAUAACAACAACAACACCAUCAAAAAAAUACCUUACGGAAUAAGAACCCUGGUUCCAAAUUUUACCAGGACACCUGGUGAAGGCUAGAGGUUAUAUCAGCCGAUCAAUGUUAACAAACAGAGGA
This is a long non-coding RNA of Octopus sinensis (East Asian common octopus), 163 nucleotides long. RefSeq lists it as uncharacterized. The transcript is spliced from 3 exons. The record is from RefSeq and is a predicted model, not a curated record. NCBI's taxonomy places the organism in Eukaryota, Metazoa, Mollusca, Cephalopoda, Octopoda, Octopodidae.